Molecule: ribosomal RNA, 467 nt
Filed under: uncultured bacterium
Lineage: Bacteria
Description: bacterial SSU rRNA
Rfam family: Bacterial small subunit ribosomal RNA
Source: RNAcentral
CCCAGACUCCUACGGGAGGCAGCAGUGCGGAAUAUUGGUCCAUGGCCGUAAGGCUGCACCAGCCACGUAGCUUGAGGGACGCCUGCCCUAUGGGUUGUCCACCUCUUUUAUUCUGGGAUAAAGGUGUCCACGUGUUUCUUUUUGCAGGUCCCGCCUGAAUAAGUCCCGUCUAAUUCCUUUCCCGCAGCCGCUGUCCUCCGGAAGGUCCGUUCGUUAUCCGGCGUUAUUGGGUUUAAAGGGAGCGUAGGCCGGUCGGUAAGCGUGCCGGGAAAUUUUGGGGCGGAACCAUGAGAGUGCGGCGCGAACUGGAGACCUUGAGUGCGCGGAAGGCAGGCGGAAUUCGUGGUGUAGCGGUGAAAUGCUUAGAUAGCACGAAGAACUCCGAUUGCGAAGGCAGCAUACGGCAGCGCUACUGACGCUGAAGCUCGAAGGCGCGGGUAGCGAACAGGAUUAGAUACCCCUGUAAA